This 219-nucleotide unclassified non-coding RNA is filed under the name Pinguicula alpina. RNAcentral describes it as "ITS2". Lineage: Eukaryota; Viridiplantae; Streptophyta; Magnoliopsida; Lamiales; Lentibulariaceae. The record is from RNAcentral.
CGCCGUGCCGCGCCCCCUUUUCCCCGCCCGGGGACGGGGGCCGUGGUGCGGAGACUGGCCUCCCGUGCGCCCCGGCGCGCGGAUGGCCCAAAUGAGAUCCCUCGGCGACGCUCGUCACGACCAUUGGUGGUUGAUCUCUCGACUCACGUGCUGUCGUGCUCCGCAGCGUCGCCGGCGAGGGCAUCCGGAUGGACCCAACGGCGCGCGCAGCCAGCAUCC